This 657-nucleotide non-coding RNA is filed under the name Pongo abelii (Sumatran orangutan). Lineage: Eukaryota; Metazoa; Chordata; Mammalia; Primates; Hominidae. The record is from RNAcentral.
UGUAAAUGGAAGCUCAAGGAAUCCAGUGAGUUGUCUCUGGAAAAGAGCAGAGCAGCAGAUGCAUGUGUGUAAGAGGUAGUAACAUCCGAUGUUAUAUUCCUCCGUGUAGGGCGUUCACUGGUCACUCAAACUGCAGAGUCCACAAUUGCAGGCAGUGCUAUUCAGAUGGACUAACAAUCAAAUGAAGACCCAGGAGUUGUGUGAUGCGAUGGCCUCAUAUAAAGGGAACCGAUGCCUUGAGGAAUCAGAUGUUUCAUGCUGAUUUAAAUUUUUGGCACCUGUAGGCUUCGAUUACAUGAAAUCUGAAAGACUGCUUUCUAAAUAAUGACAACAAAUUUCCUGACAAUGCGAACAACAGACGUCACCAAGUUUCAGGUCUACAGAAAUUGCACAGAGAGUGCAGAGAGUAUAUACUAUAAAUAAGGCACCAGAUGUGAUUACUCAGGGAGAGCGAAGAGACAUGUAGAGCUUAAUUUCUGUCCAUGAGGUAAGUGGACGUGAGAGAUACACACAUAAACAGAUAAAAUGGAUGCCUUGUACUGUUGAAAAAUGGAUGACCAGUAUUACAGUGUUUCCUAGAAUCAAGAAAUGCUGUAUGUGAGGGAAAACUGGGAGGGACUUCCCAGAUGAGGUGGCUCUUGGACUGGCCUUUGAAAA